CUCGCUAAAGAAUAACUACAAAUCAUCGUCUAUGUGGAAAACAUUAUCCAGGACCAAGAUCUAAGCAAGGUGCCCUGCAAAGAAGUAAUAUAAAUGCCCAUACUUUGAUUUUUAAAAAAUACAUUGGAGUUACCCCAAAUAAGUGAUAAAAUAUUGGAAUUUCUCAGGAACCUCCACCAUUAUCCCAAGACUGGUAAGAUCUCAUCAAACACAU
RNAcentral lists this long non-coding RNA (214 nucleotides) under Fukomys damarensis (Damara mole-rat). RNAcentral describes it as "lncRNA (ENSFDAG00000025845.1)". Lineage: Eukaryota; Metazoa; Chordata; Mammalia; Rodentia; Bathyergidae. The record is from RNAcentral.